AGGGAUGUAGCGCAGCUUGGUAGCGCGUUUGUUUUGGGUACAAAAUCUCACGGAUCCUGUCAUCCCUA
This 68-nucleotide transfer RNA is filed under the name Tiarella polyphylla. RNAcentral describes it as "tRNA-Pro". It matches the Rfam family "tRNA". Rfam says of the family: Transfer RNA (tRNA) molecules are approximately 80 nucleotides in length. RNAcentral also lists the same sequence under 1 other name. The record is from RNAcentral. Lineage: Eukaryota; Viridiplantae; Streptophyta; Magnoliopsida; Saxifragales; Saxifragaceae.